GACGAACGCUGGCGGCGUGCUUAACACAUGCAAGUCGAACGGAAAGGCCCUGCUUUUGUGGGGUGCUCGAGUGGCGAACGGGUGAGUAACACGUGAGUAACCUGCCCUGGACUUUGGGAUAACGUCAGGAAACUGGGGCUAAUACCUGAUAGGAGCUCCUGCUGCAUGGUGGGGGUUGGAAAGUUUCGGCGGGUGGGGAUGGACGCGCGGCUUAUCAGCUUGUUGGUGGGGUAGUGGCUUACCAAGGCUUUGACGGGUAGCCGGCCUGGGAGGGUGGCCGGCCACAUUGGGACUGAGAUACGGCCCAGACUCCUACGGGAGGCAGCAGUGGGGAAUAUUGCACAAUGGGCGGAAGCGUGAUGCAGAAACGCCGCGUGCGGGAUGACGGCCUUCGGGUUGUAAAACGCUUUCGCCUGUGACGCAGCGUGAGUGACGGUAAUGGGUAAAGAAGCACCGGCUAACUACGUG
RNAcentral lists this ribosomal RNA (468 nucleotides) under uncultured bacterium. RNAcentral's name for it is "partial 16S ribosomal RNA". It matches the Rfam family "Bacterial small subunit ribosomal RNA", at positions 28 to 507 of the family's 1533-position model. The record is from RNAcentral.